RNAcentral lists this ribosomal RNA (199 nucleotides) under uncultured bacterium. Its description in RNAcentral is "partial 16S ribosomal RNA". It matches the Rfam family "Bacterial small subunit ribosomal RNA", at positions 328 to 539 of the family's 1533-position model. The record is from RNAcentral.
ACGCUCGACACCUACGGGAGGCAGCAGUGGGGAAUAUUGCACAAUGGGGGAAACCCUGAUGCAGCGACGCCGCGUGGAGGAAGAAGGUCUUCGGAUUGUAAACUCCUGUUGUUAGGGGAAAAAGAGGAUGGUACCCAACAAGGAAGUGACGGCUAACUACGUACCAGCAGCCGCGGUAAUCUGAGCGGGCUGGCAAGGC